This 555-nucleotide ribosomal RNA is filed under the name fungal sp. 229c1d. RNAcentral describes it as "eukaryotic LSU rRNA". The stretch from base 215 to 368 matches the Rfam family "5.8S ribosomal RNA". Lineage: Eukaryota; Fungi. The record is from RNAcentral.
CGGAGGGAUCAUUACCGAGUUUACAACUCCCAAACCCAAUGUGAACGUUACCAAACUGUUGCCUCGGCGGGAUCUCUGCCCCGGGUGCGUCGCAGCCCCGGACCAAGGCGCCCGCCGGAGGACCAACCAAAACUCUUAUUGUAUACCCCCUCGCGGGUUUUUUACUAUCUGAGCCAUCUCGGCGCCCCUCGUGGGCGUUUCGAAAAUGAAUCAAAACUUUCAACAACGGAUCUCUUGGUUCUGGCAUCGAUGAAGAACGCAGCGAAAUGCGAUAAGUAAUGUGAAUUGCAGAAUUCAGUGAAUCAUCGAAUCUUUGAACGCACAUUGCGCCCGCCAGUAUUCUGGCGGGCAUGCCUGUCCGAGCGUCAUUUCAACCCUCGAACCCCUCCGGGGGGUCGGCGUUGGGGAUCGGCCCUUUACGGGGCCGGCCCCGAAAUACAGUGGCGGUCUCGCCGCAGCCUCUCCUGCGCAGUAGUUUGCACACUCGCAUCGGGAGCGCGGCGCGUCCACAGCCGUUAAACACCCCAAACUUCUGAAAUGUUGACCUCGGAUCAG